AUGCUCACUUCGGCAGCACAUAUACUAAAAUUGGAACGAUACAGAGAAGAUUAGCAUGGCCCCUGCACAAGGAUGACACACAAAUUCAUGAAGCAUUCCAUAUUUUU
RNAcentral lists this small nuclear RNA (107 nucleotides) under Camelus bactrianus (Bactrian camel). RNAcentral also lists the same sequence under 1 other name. Lineage: Eukaryota; Metazoa; Chordata; Mammalia; Artiodactyla; Camelidae. The record is from RNAcentral.